RNAcentral lists this unclassified non-coding RNA (295 nucleotides) under uncultured fungus. RNAcentral's name for it is "sequence contains ITS1". The record is from RNAcentral. Lineage: Eukaryota; Fungi.
GAGGACUACUCGGGUUUCUAAUCCUGUUCGCUCCCCACGCUUUCGCGUCUCAGCGUCAGUACCGUUCCAGAGAGCCGCCUUCGCCACCGGUGUUCUUCCUAAUAUCUGCGCAUUUCACCGCUACACUAGGAAUUCCGCUCUCCCCUCCCGGACUCAAGCUCGACAGUAUCCAGUGCAGGCUUGGGGUUGAGCCCCAAGAUUUCACACCAGACUUAUCGAGCCGCCUACACGCGCUUUACGCCCAAUGAUUCCGGACAACGCUCGCCCCCUACGUAUUACCGCGGCGGCUGGCACC